This 21-nucleotide microRNA is filed under the name Homo sapiens (human). Its description in RNAcentral is "hsa-miR-6831-3p". Lineage: Eukaryota; Metazoa; Chordata; Mammalia; Primates; Hominidae. The record is from miRBase by way of RNAcentral.
UGACUAACUCCCACUCUACAG